CUUUGAACGCACCUUGCGCUCCUUGGUAUUCCGAGGAGCAUGCCUGUUUGAGUGUCAUUAAAUUCUCAACCUUCCAUGUUUUAUUAGCAUGGUUAGGCUUGGAUGUGGGGGUUGCGGGCUUCAUCAAUGAUGUCGGCUCUCCUUAAAUGCAUUAGCGGAACUUUUGUGGACCGUCUAUUGGUGUGAUAGUUAUCUACGCCGUGGAUGUGAUGCAGCUUUAUGAAGUUCAGCUUCUAACCGUCCAUUGACUUGGACAAUUUUGACAAUUUGACCUCAAAUCAGGUAGGACUACCCGCUGAACUUAAGCAUAUCAAUAAGCGGAGG
RNAcentral lists this ribosomal RNA (324 nucleotides) under uncultured Laccaria. RNAcentral describes it as "eukaryotic LSU rRNA". The stretch from base 269 to 324 matches the Rfam family "Eukaryotic large subunit ribosomal RNA", at positions 1 to 56 of the family's 3401-position model. The record is from RNAcentral. Lineage: Eukaryota; Fungi; Basidiomycota; Agaricomycetes; Agaricales; Tricholomataceae.